CAGGUGCUAAUACCGGAUAAGAAAGCGGAUCGCAUGAUCAGCUUUUAAAAGGCGGCGUAAGCUGUCGCUAUGGGAUGGCCCCGCGGUGCAUUAGCUAGUUGGUAAGGUAAAGGCUUACCAAGGCGAUGAUGCAUAGCCGAGUUGAGAGACUGAUCGGCCACAUUGGGACUGAGACACGGCCCAAACUCCUACGGGAGGCAGCAGAU
RNAcentral lists this ribosomal RNA (206 nucleotides) under uncultured Lactobacillus sp. Its description in RNAcentral is "partial 16S ribosomal RNA". It matches the Rfam family "Bacterial small subunit ribosomal RNA", at positions 157 to 354 of the family's 1533-position model. Lineage: Bacteria; Bacillati; Bacillota; Bacilli; Lactobacillales; Lactobacillaceae. The record is from RNAcentral.